CCAAGUUAUAAAGAGUCAACGGCGGAUGCCUUGGCGCCUGAAGCCGAAGAAGGACGUGGGAGGCUGCGAUAAGCCACGGGGAGCUGCCUACCAAGCGCGGAUCCGUGGAUGUCCGAAUGGGGAAACCCGGCACCCGUCAUGGGGUGUCACCCUGGUCUGAACGCAUAGGACCAGUGGAGGGAACCGGGGGAAUUGAAACAUCUCAGUACCCCGAGGAGAGGAAAACAACAGUGACUCCCUGAGUAGCGGCGAGCGAAACGGGAUGAGCCUAAACCGAGUUGGUGUUAAAGCCUGAUGGCGUUGCCAAUUCGGGGUUGUGGGAGCCGAUAGAAGGUGCAUCAGAACCUUCACGGAGUUACAAAACCAAUUGCUUAGUGGAAGCAUCCAGGAAAGAUGCGCCGCAGAGGGUAACAGCCCCGUACACGAAAAGCAUUGGACUCCGAUCGGAUUUCCCGAGUAGCGCCGGAUCCGGGAAAGCCGGCGUGAAUCUGCGAGGACCACCUCGUAAGGCUAAGUACUCACAGGCGACCGAUAGUGAACUAGUACCGUGAGGGAAAGGUGAAAAGUACCCCGGGAGGGGAGUGAAAUAGUACCUGAAACCGUUGACUUACAAUCAGUCAGAGCGUCGUCGGCACUUUGUGCCGGCCGUGAUGGCGUGCCUUUUGAAGAAUGAGCCAACGAGUUACGGUGUGUGGCGAGGUUAACCUGCGAAGGGGAGCCGAAGCGAAAGCGAGUCUUAAUAGGGCGAAUUAGUCGCAUGCUGUAGACCCGAAGCCGAGUGAGCUAGCCAUGGGCAGGCUGAAGCGGGGGUAAGACCCCGUGGAGGGCCGAACCCACCCUGGUUGAAAACAGGGGGGAUGACCUGUGGUUAGGGGUGAAAGGCCAAUCAAACUCGGUGAUAGCUGGUUCUCCCCGAAAUGCAUUUAGGUGCAGCGUCGGGCGUUCAGCAUCGGAGGUAGAGCACUGAAUGGGCAAGGGGGCCUACAAGCUUACUGACCCCAAUCAAACUCCGAAUGCCGAUGCUUUAGAGCCUGGCAGUGAGACUACGAGGGAUGAGCUUCGUUAGUCGAGAGGGAAACAGCCCAGACCGCCAGCUAAGGCCCCUAAUUUUUGACUAAGUGGAAAACGAUGUGGGAACGCGAAGACAGCCAGGAGGUUGGCUCAGAAGCAGCCAUCCUUAAAAGAGUGCGUAAUAGCUCACUGGUCGAGUGGUCCUGCGCGGACAAUGUAACGGGGCUCAAGUCAAAAGCCGAAGCUGCGGAUUUCCAUUCCGCCUGAAUUUCGAUUCGGGAGUGACGGAGUGGGAGUGGUAGGGGAGCGUCGAUCCUGCUGAGAAGCGGCGGUGGAAACCGUCGUGGAGCGUGGUCGAGUGAGAAUGUUGGUAUGAGUAGCGAGAGAGGGGUGAGAAACCCCUCCGCCGUAAGCCCAAGGGUUCCUGGGGAAGGCUAAUCCUCCCAGGGUAAGUCGGGAGCUAAGGCGAGGCCGAGAGGCGUAGUCGAUGCACAACUGGUUGAUAUUCCAGUACUUCCGUGUCCGCGCCCAUUCCAAUACCGGUGUCCUAAGGGGCUGUCCUUCGGGGCGAACCGACCGACCCGGUGGCGGAAAGCGAAGGAGGGACGCAGGAGGGUAGGUGAGCCCAGGCGUUGGUUGUCCUGGGGUAAGCGUGUAGGGGGAGGUCCAGGCAAAUCCGGACCUCAUCAACCCUGAGACGCGAUGCCGAGCCACACCAGGCGAAGUCACUGAUCCCAUGCUGCCGAGAAAAGCUUCUAGCGAGCUGACGCGGAACCCGUACCCCAAACCGACACAGGUGGGCGGGUAGAGAAUACCAAGGCGAUCGGGAGAACUGUGGUUAAGGAACUCGGCAAAAUACCUCCGUAACUUCGGGAGAAGGAGGGCCUCACUAGGAUGACGAACUUCGCGUUCCGAGUCUGAAGAGGCCGCAGAGAAUAGGGGAAAGCGACUGUUUACUAAAAACACAGGAGCGUGCGAAGUCGUAAGACGAUGUAUACGCUCUGACGCCUGCCCGGUGCCGGAAGGUUACGGGGAAGGGUUAGCCCUCGGGCGAAGCUCUGAACCUAAGCCCCGGUAAACGGCGGCCGUAACUAUAACGGUCCUAAGGUAGCGAAAUUCCUUGUCGGGUAAGUUCCGACCUGCACGAAUGGCGUAACGACUUUCCUACUGUCUCAACCACAGACCCGGCGAAAUUGAAGUACGAGUAAAGAUGCUCGUUAGCUGCAUCAGGACGGAAAGACCCCGUGGACCUUUACUACAGCUUGCUGUUGAGUUUUAGUUCAUAUUGUGUAGGAUAGGUGGGAGACUUUGAAGCAUUGGCGCCAGCCAGUGUGGAGUCAACCUUGAAAUACCACCCUUUAUGUGCCGGAACCCUAACCUCGGUCCGUUAUCCGGAUCAGGGACAGCGUCAGGUGGGUAGUUUGACUGGGGC
RNAcentral lists this ribosomal RNA (2443 nucleotides) under Acidimicrobiaceae bacterium. RNAcentral's name for it is "bacterial LSU rRNA". It matches the Rfam family "Bacterial large subunit ribosomal RNA", at positions 3 to 2280 of the family's 2925-position model. The record is from RNAcentral. Lineage: Bacteria; Bacillati; Actinomycetota; Acidimicrobiia; Acidimicrobiales; Acidimicrobiaceae.